AAUAGAUACCCGGGUAGUCCACGCCGUAAACGAUGAGUGCUAAGUGUUAGAGGGUUUCCGCCCUUUAGUGCUGCAGCAAACGCAUUAAGCACUCCGCCUGGGGAGUACGGUCGCAAGACUGAAACUCAAAGGAAUUGACGGGGGCCCGCACAAGCGGUGGAGCAUGUGGUUUAAUUCGAAGCAACGCGAAGAACCUUACCAGGUCUUGACAUCCUCUGACAACCCUAGAGAUAGGGCUUCCCCUUCGGGGGCAGAGUGACAGGUGGUGCAUGGUUGUCGUCAGCUCGUGUCGUGAGAUGUUGGGUUAAGUCCCGCAACGAGCGCAACCCUCGAUCUUAGUUGCCAGCAUUCAGUUGGGCACUCUAAGGUGACUGCCGGUGACAAACCGGAGGAAGGUGGGGAUGACGUCAAAUCAUCAUGCCCCUUAUGACCUGGGCUACACACGUGCUACAAUGGGCAGAACAAAGGGCAGCGAAGCCGCGAGGCUAAGCCAAUCCCACAAAUCUGUUCUCAGUUCGGAUCGC
Molecule: ribosomal RNA, 524 nt
Filed under: uncultured bacterium
Lineage: Bacteria
Description: bacterial SSU rRNA
Rfam family: Bacterial small subunit ribosomal RNA
Source: RNAcentral